Molecule: ribosomal RNA, 401 nt
Filed under: uncultured eukaryote
Lineage: Eukaryota
Description: SSU rRNA
Rfam family: Eukaryotic small subunit ribosomal RNA
Source: RNAcentral
UCCUGCCAGUAGUCAUAUGCUUGUCUCAAAGAUUAAGCCAUGCAUGUGUAAGUAUAAGUAUUGUACAGCGAAACUGCGAAUGGCUCAUUACAUCAGUUAUAGUUUAUUUGAUAUUUGAAAGUUACAUGGAUAACCGUGGCAAUUCUACAGCUAAUACAUGCUUCAAAACCUGACUUCGGAAGGGUUGUAUUUAUUAGAUAUUAAACCAUCCCCUCGGGGCUGUAGAUGAAUCAUAAUAACUGAUCGAAUCGAGGUUCGCCUUGAUAAAUCAUUCAAGUUUCUGCCCUAUCAGCUGUAGAUGGUAGUGUAUUGGACUACCAUGGCUAUUACGGGUAACGGAGAAUUAGGGGUUCGAUUCCGGGAGAGGGAGCCUGAGAAACGGCUACCACAUCUACGGAUGG